Molecule: ribosomal RNA, 460 nt
Filed under: uncultured bacterium
Lineage: Bacteria
Description: partial 16S ribosomal RNA
Rfam family: Bacterial small subunit ribosomal RNA
Source: RNAcentral
CCUACGGGGAGCAGCAGUGAGGAAUAUUGGUCAAUGGACGAGAGUCUGAACCAGCCAAGUAGCGUGAAGGAUGACUGCCCUAUGGGUUGUAAACUUCUUUUAUAUGGGAAUAAAAUGUUCCACGUGUGGGAUUUUGUAUGUACCAUAUGAAUAAGGAUCGGCUAACUCCGUCCCAGCAGCCGCGGUAAUACGGAGGAUCCGAGCGUUAUCCGGAUUUAUUGGGUUUAAAGGGAGCGUAGGUGGAUUGUUAAGUCAGUUGUGAAAGUUUGCGGCUCAACCGUAAAAUUGCAGUUGAAACUGGCAGUCUUGAGUACAGUAGAGGUGGGCGGAAUUCGUGGUGUAGCGGUGAAAUGCUUAGAUAUCACGAAGAACUCCGAUUGCGAAGGCAGUUCACUGGACUGCAACUGACACUGAGGCUCGAAAGUGUGGGUAUCAAACAGGAUUAGAUACCCGUGUAGUC